This 297-nucleotide RNase P RNA is filed under the name pig gut metagenome. Its description in RNAcentral is "Bacterial RNase P class A". It matches the Rfam family "Bacterial RNase P class A", at positions 34 to 361 of the family's 367-position model. Rfam says of the family: Ribonuclease P (RNase P) is a ubiquitous endoribonuclease, found in archaea, bacteria and eukarya as well as chloroplasts and mitochondria. Its best characterised activity is the generation of mature 5'-ends of tRNAs by cleaving the 5'-leader elements of precursor-tRNAs. The record is from RNAcentral.
UGAAAUAUAGAGGAAAGUCCGGGCUCCAAAGGACACAGUGCUGGCUAACGGCCAGGAGCAGUGAUGCUACAGAGAGUGCAACAGAAAGUAUACCGCCGAAAGGUAAGGGUGAAAUGGUGGUGUAAGAGACCACCGCUUAUCUGGUGACAGGUAAGGCAUGGUAAACCUCACUGGGAGCAAGACCAAGUAUGUGGGUGGCUUGUCCGGCUAUAUCCACGGGUAGGUCGCUUGAUCUGACAAGUAAUUGUCAGGCUAGAUAGAUGAUUACAUAAACAGAACUCGGCUUAUCGGGGGCCU